Molecule: non-coding RNA, 77 nt
Organism: Parelaphostrongylus tenuis
Lineage: Eukaryota; Metazoa; Nematoda; Chromadorea; Rhabditida; Metastrongylidae
Source: the annotation of a GenBank genome assembly
GCGAGUAGUGCAGUGGUUAGCACGCGCUCCACGAAAGGCCGAGACACGGGUUCAAGUCCCGCAUGAAUUUGGAAGCU